CAUUUAUGUGGCAUGGAGACUGAGACAGACAUCCUCUGUACAGAUUCUCUCAAUUUCCAGAGAUUUCUUGCAUCCCAUCCCCUGAAAAAACCUGCUCCCAGUGGUAUUCUGCCUCAGCCUAUGUUUUCCAUUGAACUGGUGGGUGUACAAGAAGCACGUCUCUCCUUCCAAGCGUGCAGAUUUCUUCACAGCCUGGAGCUGGCUGAAUGGCUGUGAAAACCAUGCAGCUUCUUGGCCAGCUGCAGCUUCUGUUUACUGUUCAACAAACCCUUGGAGUACUGGAGUAGUUGCCAAGCUAUCAGCAAGAGCUGGGAAAGCUGGACAUUACUGUAACUCACAAUUUGACGUGUGCUCCCUGUGGACGGCUGCUCACUAAAGAAAUUUUGGUUUGCCAGCUUGCCUGUUAUUCAGCCCUGUAAGCCAAAACCGAAUCUUUAAAGCAUCUGAUAGAGCCCUUUGUAACAGAAGAGGGAGCUCUCACAACACCGAUGGAAAAUUUUUGAGGGUGCUGUUUACCCAAGGAAAGCAGAUAAGGAUAGGGACCUGUCUUUUUUUGUAGCAAAGAGGAAGAAG
Tympanuchus pallidicinctus (lesser prairie-chicken) is the source of this 573-nucleotide long non-coding RNA. RefSeq lists it as uncharacterized. Lineage: Eukaryota; Metazoa; Chordata; Aves; Galliformes; Phasianidae. The record is from RefSeq and is a predicted model, not a curated record. The transcript has 3 exons.